This 597-nucleotide long non-coding RNA is filed under the name Elaeis guineensis (African oil palm). RNAcentral's name for it is "long non-coding RNA (EGUI_LNC078216)". Lineage: Eukaryota; Viridiplantae; Streptophyta; Magnoliopsida; Arecales; Arecaceae. The record is from RNAcentral.
CAGGCUAAUAAGAGGAGGGCAUAGGAGCAAUCCCUAGCCUCCAAUAUUGGCAGUCCACCUCGAUCUGAAGAAGCUGAAGAUUUUCUACCUGACCCUAUCCUCACUAUCAGUCCAUUGUCCCCAGUGCUCCUCAACCUCCGCAUCCGGUCCCUCUAUCUUCUAAUGAUAGUGAUCUAAUAAAAGAAUCUGAUAUUCUGAUUUUUCUACCUUAGUCAUUGGAUCUUAGAUUUCUGCUAUCAUAGCACCUCUUGCUACCUUAAUAAAUAAUGGUGAAGAGAUAAGCUAGCCCGAAGAUUGCUUAGGUCAUCCAUUGAGAGGCUCCUAUCCCUGUCCUCUCUUUUCUACAAUAUAGUGAUCAAAGACUCAAUCUCCUUCGCCUUUUGAAAAUAUCCCCAACUUUUAUAUAGUUCCACCUUGAGAUCCUUCACCUCAUCAAUUCAAGCUGUUGGUGACUGGAUGUAUGGCAUCACCCGCACCGGCAACCUUCAAAUCUCCCGCAUAAUGUCCCAUGAAUGAGCAUAAGACAAUCGAAAUUUCUCAAGUCAGAAUGAGCUCUGAUGAGAAAAAUUUGAGUUAGUAGAGAGCAAAACUGAACAA